UCAUGUUGAAGCCAAAACGACACUUAUCCAAAGCUAAAAACGCGAAUGAAUCACCAACGGAAACGCUUUAGCUGAAACAAUUUAGAGCAACAAGAAAAUUGCAUUCUGAGAUCAAAGUCAUCAUCACUGCGUCUUCAUCAAUUCCGACAUCGCGUUUUGAAUUCAUCAUCACGCGUCUUCACCACGGUUAAUCGCUCGCAUCAGAAUCAUCAAGAUCACGGACGCCGUCAUCGCGUCUAAUGGAAUUGGAGCAUCGUUUUUGAUCCAGCGUCGUCGUCGUGUUUUGUUCAUCAAUGGCGUUCAAGGAUAAGCCACGCAUUCUUCACAAUUCUGGAAUCGUGACUCAUCACAGUUCACCUUCGCGUUCUGAAUCAACAUCAAUGUGUUCAUAAAUCGAUGACUCAUUUCGAACGACUCAAGCCUCACGGAUUCAACGACAACAACCGAUUUCGAUGCGGCGGAAAACACAAAUGAGCAUUUUUUAGAUGGCUUCAAUUGCUACGCAUUUUAACAUGCAUGAGCUGCUUGGCACAUAUUCAUGCUCUUUGGUUUGUGGAGACUUUAAAGAACUCUGGAUUCAUGCUCUUUGGUUUGUGGAGACUUUGCUUGAAGGACUUUGGAUUCAUGCUGUUUGGUUGCAAAUUUAUGAUGUAAAUUAUAGAAUGGUGUCGCGGUGAAGAAUCGGAGACCAAGCUAUUGAUUAGACUUGACUCAUGAAUCAAAAUAUCACCACCGAACUUUAAUUUAUCCAAGGAAAGGGGGUGUGUUAUGAAAAAGGAAGGUAUUAGCACCCUAAUCAUCUGUAGUACUCUAUAGGAACCUUUUAGAUAUAUGUUUUUGGUUUAAAAUUGUUUGCUAUUUGAUUGGGGAGAUGAGAAAAGGAACAUCUUUUUAUUGUUUAAUGAUUUGGAAAAACAUUGAGUCUUAUGCCUACCUACCCGUGAAGGAUCAAAAUCUCGUAGUUCGGGUUCAAAAGUAAGAAGGGAUUUGUUGGGGUUGAUUUUAUGAGAAAGAGACAAAUUGUCAUCUUAAGGAGAAAACUCACUUUUAAAUCACCACAAACAUGUGGAAGAUAGAUCUUUGCAUCAAAUUGAAAGAAGAACUCUCACUUGGAUAUAAAGUACGGGGGUGUGUUAUGAAAAAGGAAGGUAUUAGCACCCUAAUCAUCUGUAGUACUCUAUAGGAACCUUUUAGAUAUAUGUUUUUGGUUUAAAAUUGUUUGCUAUUUGAUUGGGGAGAUGAGAAAAGGAACAUCUUUUUAUUGUUUAAUGAUUUGGAAAAACAUUGAGUCUUAUGCCUACCUACCCGUGAAGGAUCAAAAUCUCGUAGUUCGGGUUCAAAAGUAAGAAGAGAUUUGUUGGGGUUGAUUUUAUGAGAAAGAGACAAAUUGUCAUCUUAAGGAGAAAGCUCACUUUUAAAUCACCACAAACAUGUGGAAGAUAGAUCUUUGCAUCAAAUUGAAAGAAGAACUCUCACUUGGAUAUAAAGUACGGGGGUGUGUUAUGAAAAAGGAAGGUAUUAGCACCCUAAUCAUCUGUAGUACUCUAUAGGAACCUUUUAGAUAUAUGUUUUUGGUUUAAAAUUGUUUGCUAUUUGAUUGGGGAGAUGAGAAAAGGAACAUCUUUUUAUUGUUUAAUGAUUUGGAAAAACAUUGAGUCUUAUGCCUACCUAUCCGUGAAGGAUCAAAAUCUCGUAGUUCGGGUUCAAAAGUAAGAAGGGAUUUGUUGGGGUUGAUUUUAUGAGAAAGAGACAAAUUGUCAUCUUAAGGAGAAAGCUCACUUUUAAAUCACCACAAACAUGUGGAAGAUAGAUCUUUGCAUCAAAUUGAAAGAAGAACUCUCACUUGGAUAUAAAGUACGGGGGUGUGUUAUGAAAAAGGAAGGUAUUAGUACCCUAAUCAUCUGUAGUACUCUAUAGGAACCUUUUAGAUAUAUGUUUUUGGUUUAAAAUUGUUUGCUAUUUGAUUGGGGAGAUGAGAAAAGGAACAUCUUUUUAUUGUUUAAUGAUUUGGAAAAACAUUGAGUCUUAUGCCUACCUACCCGUGAAGGAUCAAAAUCUCGUAGUUCGGGUUCAAAAGUAAGAAGGGGUUUGUUGGGGUUGAUUUUAUGAGAAAGAGACAAAUUGUCAUCUUAAGGAGAAAGCUCACUUUUAAAUCACCACAAACAUGUGGAAGAUAGAUCUUUGCAUCAAAUUGAAAGAAGAACUCUCACUUGGAUAUAAAGUACGGGGGUGUGUUAUGAAAAAGGAAGGUAUUAGCACCCUAAUCAUCUGUAGUACUCUAUAGGAACCUUUUAGAUAUAUGUUUUUGGUUUAAAAUUGUUUGCUAUUUGAUUGGGGAGAUGAGAAAAGGAACAUCUUUUUAUUGUUUAA
Molecule: long non-coding RNA, 2370 nt
Organism: Lathyrus oleraceus (garden pea)
Lineage: Eukaryota; Viridiplantae; Streptophyta; Magnoliopsida; Fabales; Fabaceae
Exons: 2
Source: RefSeq, a predicted model, not a curated record